RNAcentral lists this long non-coding RNA (402 nucleotides) under Apteryx haastii (Great spotted kiwi). RNAcentral's name for it is "lncRNA (ENSAHAG00000019420.1)". Lineage: Eukaryota; Metazoa; Chordata; Aves; Apterygiformes; Apterygidae. The record is from RNAcentral.
AUGGAUCUGAAGCCAAUUGCAACCCUGCCUAAGGCUUUGGCUGCACACACCAAUGCCAGCACCGUGAAAAUACCCGCAACAGGCCAAGGGGCCACAAGCUUCUGCCUCCCUCAGGAACAAGAUCUGCUCCACUGCUGUAUUUCCAAGACAGACGGUAUCUCCCAGGGCGCRCUGUGGCCACGUGACUGCCAUGAUGCACCACUUCCCUGUACGAAUAGAGUGAAAGAGGAGGGCAUGCCGAUAUACUUAUUUUUAACAGGGAAACCAAACUACAAUGAAGAAUACUGGUUUGCAACACCUGCACUACAGUUCCCAGGAGGCAGUGCAGCUAUGUUUAGGAACCAAAAUACUGUUMUUUUUCACUGCCAUUUCAGACUAUUCUAUGUAAAAAAGUCUUCCUAA